RNAcentral lists this antisense RNA (75 nucleotides) under Micromonospora sp. CNZ299. RNAcentral's name for it is "ASpks TB sRNA". It matches the Rfam family "ASpks TB sRNA". Lineage: Bacteria; Bacillati; Actinomycetota; Actinomycetes; Micromonosporales; Micromonosporaceae. The record is from RNAcentral.
CUUGAGGGAGCCGAGCCACAGCGGACGAUCCUCGGGCCGGUCCUGGCCGUACGUGGCGAUCAGCGCCUGGGCCUC